CCGAUUUAACGCUCCCGAUGGUGUCGGCAAGAUAACCAAACUUGAUUAUUUAGAGGAACCAAAAGUCGUAAUAAGGUUUUCGUAGGGGAACCUACGAAAGAA
Molecule: ribosomal RNA, 102 nt
Filed under: Cnaphalocrocis medinalis (rice leaffolder)
Lineage: Eukaryota; Metazoa; Arthropoda; Insecta; Lepidoptera; Crambidae
Description: partial 18S ribosomal RNA
Rfam family: Eukaryotic small subunit ribosomal RNA
Source: RNAcentral